AUUUGCAUGAUGAGUUAAAUUGUCGGAUACUCUUCACCUCUUUUAUGAGUGAGAUAUAACAGUCUGACAAAA
Molecule: small nucleolar RNA, 72 nt
Organism: Sciurus vulgaris (Eurasian red squirrel)
Lineage: Eukaryota; Metazoa; Chordata; Mammalia; Rodentia; Sciuridae
Source: Ensembl